UACAGGGGGUGCAAACGUUGCUCGGAAUCAUUGGGCGUAAAGCGCACGUAGGCGGUCUGUUAUGUCGGAUGUGAAAGCCCUCGGCUCAACUGAGGAAGUGCAUCCGAAACUGGCAGGCUAGAGUACUAAAGAGGGUCGCGGAAUUCCCGGUGUAGAGGUGAAAUUCGUAGAUAUCAGGAAGAACACCCGUGGCGAAGGCGGCUCUCUGGUACGUGACUGACGCUGAGACGCGAAAGCGUGGGGAGCGAACAGG
RNAcentral lists this ribosomal RNA (253 nucleotides) under uncultured bacterium. Its description in RNAcentral is "partial 16S ribosomal RNA". It matches the Rfam family "Bacterial small subunit ribosomal RNA", at positions 524 to 776 of the family's 1533-position model. The record is from RNAcentral.